UUCUGCUGUACACCGUUUCAAAUCUGGACAAGCUUCUGUAUUGAUUGCAACUGAUGUUGCCAGUUAGAUUAUGUUCAUCAUGUAGGGCAUUCUGCUAGAGCAGGCAGAGGACGAAUGGUUGUGAGUUUUGUUACUGAGUUUUAUCAUUGGCAUGGUUCUUUCCAGUUACAAGCUACAUGCACGUAAUUGAAGCCGAUUAACAAUACGAGAUAGAAGCUGUUCUUGGGAAACAACUAGAGGAAUUUGAGUCAUUGAGUGUAAAGGCGUCCUUAAGGAACCCUUGCUGCAUAUGUAUAGGUUAAUUCUAGGGAGUCCAAGGGUAGUGAUGAUGAGGUGGAUGUAGCUUUUCAUUAUUAGGCAUAACCAAUGAAUAAAGAUCUUAUCAUAAAUUAUAAUUAGCAGAUAUGCCAAACGUUUUGCAAAAGAACGUUGUGAUCUUAUCAUAACCAAUGAAGAUGAUGGACGAUGGCCUUGAGGAGAAAGCAAAAGAACGGAAAAAAGCAAAAUCUGAAAACACUAGCAGAGAAGGGAUUGUUGAAGAAGAAGAAUAAGAAGAGAGAGAAAAGUUUGCAAAAUAGUGAACAAGGGAUAACAAGUGAUCCAGAAGCUCUAUGUUGUUUGAAGUCGAAUGAGGAACUUUGGUUUGUCCCUCUGCUUAAAAAGCGAUGCCAAACGUUUUGCCUUUUCGUUUUUUUUAGAAUAUUUGUUCAUGUAAUUUUGAUGUAAAUGUAGCUUAUUAAAAUAUUUUCAUGUUCAAUUACAAUAAUUAAAAGUGCCCAAAGUUUGGAUUC
Hevea brasiliensis (rubber tree) is the source of this 791-nucleotide long non-coding RNA. RefSeq lists it as uncharacterized. The record is from RefSeq and is a predicted model, not a curated record. The transcript is spliced from 4 exons. NCBI's taxonomy places the organism in Eukaryota, Viridiplantae, Streptophyta, Magnoliopsida, Malpighiales, Euphorbiaceae.